Long non-coding RNA from Planococcus citri (citrus mealybug), 3696 nucleotides. RefSeq lists it as uncharacterized. Lineage: Eukaryota; Metazoa; Arthropoda; Insecta; Hemiptera; Pseudococcidae. The record is from RefSeq and is a predicted model, not a curated record. The transcript has 5 exons.
ACUCGAAAAAACAUACCUACUUUUUUCAAUUUCCCAUUCAAAAAUUAAGAAUUCGUCGAGUUUAUAAUCAAUUCAGGUACCUAUCUACAUUGUGAGAUCCCAAGGAGAAUUUCAACCCAUGAAGUUGGCAAAAAAUAAAUAAGUACCCACCCUUCUUUCUUCACAAUGUUAAAAAUAACAAUUUUAUUUUUGAUGUUCACAAUAACUUGGACAAACGCGAAGAGGACGAUGAAACCUUUCCUGCUCCAUAAGUUCAUUCCAAAGAUAUGCAAAAUUGACGACUGCCACAAACAAUGUUCGGAAAAAUUGGAUAAAAAUCUCCCAGACAAGGAAGUAAUAGGCAUAUGUAAUGGUAAAUACAAAUGUAAGUGUUACGAAUACGAUAAUACGAUACGUCGCAUCUUCCCUUUAAAAGAUAAUGGAGAGCGUGAUCAUCUUUUUGCGAUGCCUGGAUAGCGCAAAGAGAGGUUUUCAUCAAAGCAAUUAUACAAAUGUAAUUUCCAUUCGCCUUUCAUAGACGCAAUUGUAAAAAGAUAUACGUUAGGUAUCACCUAGGUAUAUAAAUAAUAUAUAUUUUUCUGAAUUUUCUGUAUAGAUGGAAGAUCUUUAAAAAUAUGAAAAACUGAUUUUUCUUACGAUUUUUCUCACUCAAAUUGAUCAAUUUUGAUCGAAAUUUUUUUAACCACACUGUAAAGUAAAAACCUCACGAUCUUUUUCAUUUUCAAGUCCAUACAUGUCUUAGAAAGGAAUUUGGUGUAGUUAUUUUUUGGACCAAGAAGGUUCACUGCCUUCCCUUUCGAGGAGAUAAUUUUUAUUCGUAUAGUACCUGAUUAAUGAAGAUUUUAGUAAAUUAAUAGUUCAUUAAAAAUUGAACCCAUGCAGAUAAAAAACAGAUAUCAGAAACAUUUCAAAAAUUAAAUAACUACUUACGCACAAUCAAUCAGUUCAUUUGCAUUGUAACAUUCUGUGGAAAAUUUCAAUGAAUGGCAAUCAUAUCAAAAAAUAAAUGAAGAUGUAAACUUUCACCCAUACCUGAUUUCCCCCCCACUACCUACAAUGUUGACAGUAGCUGUAAUGCUUUUAAUGAUCAGCAUAACUUGCAUAAACGCAAACCUCGACGGAAAGGGAUUAUGCAAAGAGGACGUCUGCCAAAAAGAAUGCGAGGAUGUAUAUGAUUUAAAUUUCGCAGGCCACAUAGCAGGCGUAUGUGCUACUCCGUGGACUUGUAAAUGUUUCGAAUAUAAGGACGAGGUACAAGGAUACGAACCUAUCAAAAAGUAUCAACAUGACAUUACUGUUGCCGAUAAAAUUGAUAAGGUAGUUAAUUAAGAAACUUAAGUACAUAUUUAUAAUAGGUAUAGAAUCAAAAGCUGUGAGAAUAAGUAAUUCUACGAGUAUUUUAUAAAAUGUUUGAGAUGAAUAAAUUUUAAAAAAAAAAUUACAUAGGUAAUUAUAGUUAAUCCUCUUAAUGCUGAAUGUCUCUUCAAUAGAAAAAAUUAUCAAGUCGUGAAGAAGCAAGUUAUCAAUGAUGAAAAAUUGAAAAAAGUUAAAUUCUCAAGCUAUUGACAGUGAUAAAAUCAACACAUGGGUUCAGAGUGAUUAAAAGUCCCUCGAAUAUUCACCCUGACAACAUAAUUUCCACGUCUGGGGCAGAGUUACCUGCGAUUUGAAAUAAUAAAAUAGCCAAAAAUAACCCCUGCAACUCAGUAAAACUUUUUCAAGGAGUCAAUUGUUCUUAAACAUAAAUUUUAGGUAGGUACCUACUUUUUCCUCAAGAGAAUUUGAUACACUGACGAACGAAAAAAAUAUUGUUAAAAGCACCCUCAUCCUUUCAGAAAACCAAGAAUUACACGUACAAAUAAUGAUUAGUCUGUGAUAAGAUAUUGAAUUAUUGAUACAGGAAACAUUUCAGAAAUUUGAUAUCAAAAUACUCGUGAUAAGUAACGCUGAUAUUUAAAUUUUUGAUACAUUAAAUAUUCCGAAAAUACACACGUACUUAUUCGUUUCAAUUUACCAUUUCAAUAAAUUCAGAGUUCCCCAUACAAAUUAUCAGUUCAUUUACACUGCGCAUUCUGCGGGAAGUUUGAAUGGAUCGAAAUUGGCAAAAAAUAAAUAAAGUGAAAUUUCACGAGUGAGUAGGUACACCUACCUAUUUUCUAAUACCUCACGAAUUCAUCAUUUCGUUCUCAAGCACCACAUUUCUGGGGCAAAAAUGCUUAGUUAUUUUCUUCUAAACCAACAUUGCGAUGCUGAAAACAACUGUAUUCUGUUUAAUAUUCACGAUAACUUGGACUAACGCGAAGGUCUUUAUAAAGAAACGAUGCGAUUAUGAGAAAUGCGACCAAGAAUGCAUGGAUAAGUUCGACCACAUCAACACCUCAUGCAAGCAAGUAUUAGGUGCAUGCUCUGACUUUAAAAAAUGUAAAUGUUACGAAUAUGAUUGUAAGACACGUAAGGUAAUGCCUUUAAAAGAUAGUGAAGAUGUAGACGAAGGGCCUGCCAUGCCUGUCCCACACUCACUUUUAGAACAAAGUGAAGAGUAUUAUGAUGAUAAUGAUGACGGUUACUGAGGAUAACCAAUAAGUUAAAUUGUAAAUUAUAACACGUCGUAAGAACCUACUUAUUUAUACACAAUAUACAGAGACAGACAGAUAGAAUCAAAGGUUUUGGAAUGAAUUCGGACAAUAGGUACCUAUAAAUUACCUGUACUUAGAUUUAGCACAAAAGAUUUUGUCGAUCAAGAAGCUUCAUUCCUUCGAGUGUAGAAUUUUAAUGGUACAUAUAGGUAUAGAUUUAUAGGAAACAUUCCAAAAAUAAAAUAUCCACUUGCGUAUCAAGAGAUUCGUGAUAAAAUACUGAUAUCUAAAUUUUUGAUAAGUAAAUAAUUUCAAAAAUACGCACCUAUUUUUUUUCAAUUUCUCAUUUUCAAAAUUGAAGAGUUCCUCUACAAUUUAUCAAUUCAUUUACAAUCCAACGAGCUGAAGAAUCGAUCGGAAUUAGCAAAAAAAUUAACGAGAAGGUAAAAUUUCAUUCGUGAGUAUUCUACAAUAGGUACCUUUCGAAUAUAAGUAUUAUUUUCGUUCUCAAAUAGGUACGUACCGCACCUUUCUUGGGAAAAAGUACCUAAAAGCUGAUUCCUUUCCGCGCACAUUGAUUUUUUUUCUAAGCAAGUUUUUCGAGUGAUGGAAUUUCGAUUAUUUUAGAUAUUCGCUUAUUUUUCCUUAAACAAACGUCGCAAUGCUGAAAAUAAUUGUAAUGCUUUUAAUAUUCACGAUUACUUGGACAAACGCAUGGUUCUUCGGAAAAAAAGAAAAGAUGAAAUGCGAAGUUGAUGAAUGCCACCAACGAUGCACGUCUCAUUUUUAUGUAAUUAUCAAAGGAAAGGAAGUACGGGGAAUAUGUUUAGAAAACGGUUACUGCGAAUGUUACGAAUACGAUGAAAAGGCACAUCGUUACUAUCCUAGGAAAAAAAAGUUGUGGUAAGAUUAUCAUAAUUUGAGUACCCACUACCUAGGACCUACCUACUGAUUAGCCAAAAAGUUCAACUAAUGUAAGAAGGUAACAUCAUAAGUACAUUUCAAAGAUAGGAACAUUAGGUAUUACAUAUAAUCAAAAUCUAUAAAAAUAAUAUUCUAUUUUUAUAAACGUUUGAGAAAAAUGCACUUUUUCGUAAAAUUACAUUAUCUAAGUACUCAA